RNAcentral lists this ribosomal RNA (281 nucleotides) under uncultured bacterium. RNAcentral's name for it is "partial 16S ribosomal RNA". It matches the Rfam family "Bacterial small subunit ribosomal RNA", at positions 524 to 796 of the family's 1533-position model. The record is from RNAcentral.
UACGGGGGGGCAAGCGUUGUUCGGAAUUACUGGGCGUAAAGGGCUCGGUAGGCGGCCAACUAAGUCGGAUGUGAAAUCCCCAAGGCUUAACUUGGGAACUGCAUCCGAUACUGGAUGGCUUGAAUCCGGGAGAGGAUGCAGAAUUCAGGUGUAGCGGUGAAAUGCGUAGAUAUCUGGAGGAACACCGGUGGCCGAAGGCGGCAUCCUGGACCAACACUGACGCUGAGGAGCGGAAAGCCAGGGGAAGCAAAGCGGGGAUUAAGAAACCCGUUGUAACGUCC